This 217-nucleotide long non-coding RNA is filed under the name Nicotiana benthamiana. RNAcentral describes it as "long non-coding RNA (NBEN_LNC013331)". The record is from RNAcentral. Lineage: Eukaryota; Viridiplantae; Streptophyta; Magnoliopsida; Solanales; Solanaceae.
AGAUAUUCCAGAAGUAGAAGACAAUGAGGAAGAAGACGGUGUUGAGCAGGGGGAGCCACAACCCGCUCUGCCAGAUGUUCCAGAACCAUAACAAGACUCAGAUGAUGGUUGAUCUCCUCAUAUUCCAGAAGUUCGUAGAUCUGAACGAGGUCGGAUUCCAUCGAAAACCAGAGAGUUUCCAUGAAGCAGUAUCUCAUAAGGACAAAGAACAGUGGUU